GUGUCAGCAGCCGCGGUAAUACGUAGGGGCCGAGCGUUGUCCGGAGUUAUUGGGCGUAAAGCGCGCGCAGGCGGCUUCGCGCGUCCGACGUGAAAGCCCCCGGCUCAACCGGGGAGGGUCGUUGGGUACGGCGGAGCUUGAGGGCGGUAGAGGUUGGUGGAAUUCCCGGUGUAGUGGUGAAAUGCGUAGAGAUCGGGAGGAACACCUGUGGCGAAGGCGGCCAACUGGGCCGACCCUGACGCUGAGGCGCGAAGGCGUGGGGAGCGAACGGGAUUAGAUACCCGUGUAGUCC
Molecule: ribosomal RNA, 292 nt
Filed under: uncultured bacterium
Lineage: Bacteria
Description: partial 16S ribosomal RNA
Rfam family: Bacterial small subunit ribosomal RNA
Source: RNAcentral